Molecule: ribosomal RNA, 35 nt
Filed under: uncultured Rickettsia sp.
Lineage: Bacteria; Pseudomonadati; Pseudomonadota; Alphaproteobacteria; Rickettsiales; Rickettsiaceae
Description: partial 23S ribosomal RNA
Source: RNAcentral
GGAUUUGAGUACCGGAUCGACGUACAAAUUACCCC